CCCCCCCAAUGUGGGGCAUAAAGGGUGUUGUCACUGGAUAUAAAAGGCACAAGCGUUCCGUUUGACUCCAGUGACAAACCUAAGCAACUCAUUCAGAAAUGCUUGAAUAGCUUCAGCUCGAUUUGAAUUUGAUGAAAUGGUUGUAUAACCCAGCCUAACACUGAUGGAACCAUUUCUUUUGGUCCUGAGCUUAACUGUUUGUCAUGGUGACGGUGACUGAAGGCGACACAAAUAUGCGCUUAAACACGAAUGUCAAGGCAGCGGUGAACUAGAGCCAGCCUCCAUGCUACUGACAUAUCAGUGGCAGGAUCUGCUUGCAAGUGCAAAUAAAGACACUGAUUGAGAUCGACAAUAGCCAAGCGUAUUAUUUUUUGCUGAACCAGCAUUGGAUUUGAUGGAUUUCAUAAACAACCAGUUCUGACAUGUGCCUGCUGGAGCAAUGAUGUCAUCAGGGCGAGACCAUUGGAAAAGUGACAGUGGGAAGCCAUUAGCACAAGGUGGCUGUCAGUCUUCCUUUUCCCCUUGGGAUCCACAGGUCGAUAUGUACUCCACAGGCAUGGCCUCCAUCUCCUGUCAAAGCAUGCCAUAUCCCUAUCCAACCUCAAUUCCACCCAUCCUUGAUACAUGAGACAAAGUUCAGGCCGAGAAACAGAAAUAGGAAAGUUAGGAAAAAGGGGGCACCCACGGUCAAGCUAACUACACUGUUGGUGGUCCCGCAGUUGGGUCUGGUACCAUGGUAAAACUCUAAAAUGAAUGACAAAGCAUCAGUAAACAAUAGAAACAGAC
Molecule: long non-coding RNA, 786 nt
Organism: Oreochromis niloticus (Nile tilapia)
Lineage: Eukaryota; Metazoa; Chordata; Actinopteri; Cichliformes; Cichlidae
Exons: 3
Source: RefSeq, a predicted model, not a curated record